RNAcentral lists this transfer-messenger RNA (249 nucleotides) under Mesorhizobium sp. M7A.F.Ca.CA.001.10.2.1. Its description in RNAcentral is "partial transfer-messenger RNA". It matches the Rfam family "transfer-messenger RNA", at positions 1 to 256 of the family's 374-position model. Rfam says of the family: Bacterial tmRNA, also known as 10Sa RNA or SsrA, is named for its dual tRNA and mRNA-like properties. Its role is to liberate the mRNA from a stalled ribosome. The record is from RNAcentral. Lineage: Bacteria; Pseudomonadati; Pseudomonadota; Alphaproteobacteria; Hyphomicrobiales; Phyllobacteriaceae.
GGGGACGUUUAUGGAUUCGACAGGGGUCCCCAGAGCUUAUUAAGCGUGUCGGAGGGUUGUCUCCGUCACUAACACACUCAGUUUAUAAUAACUGGCAAAUCAAACAAUAAUUUCGCAGUAGCUGCGUAAUAGCACUCUGCAUCGCCUAACAGCAUUUCCUAUGUGCUGUUAACGCGAUUCAACCUUAAUAGGAUAUGCUAAACACUGCCGUUUGAAGUCUGUUUAGAUGAAACUUAAUCAAACUAGCAU